Molecule: non-coding RNA, 411 nt
Organism: Caenorhabditis elegans
Lineage: Eukaryota; Metazoa; Nematoda; Chromadorea; Rhabditida; Rhabditidae
Source: Ensembl
GAUGGCGGUGUUUAUGCAAUACAGUGGGAUUGAGGCGUGGAUUAGGAAAAGUCUAACGGGUUGGAAAAUAAAGGGUGGUGAGUAUUGAGACGGGGGCCGAACAAACCGCGGGGAUUACUGCCGACAACAGGGCAAUUGUGUAAGUAUAUGGAUGAAUGUGUGUAUAUUCCUGUCCUUUCCGCCGAUCCCUCAUUCAACUUCAAUUUUCGAAAAUCUUCUUCAAUUUCUUGAAAUAAAUUUGAAAUCCAAACCAGAGAGCGUUCGUUUAAAGGAUUUAGAUGGAUAACGUCCGUUGUCCGGAAGGACAAAAAAGGAGGAGAAGUGGUGACGGGUAGGAGUCUCAUGCUUUUCCAAGGCCUUUUUAAAUUUAUGCACAAAUACAUCAAAUUAAUGAAUGAGCAAAGCAGAAGC